This 254-nucleotide ribosomal RNA is filed under the name uncultured bacterium. RNAcentral describes it as "partial 16S ribosomal RNA". It matches the Rfam family "Bacterial small subunit ribosomal RNA", at positions 524 to 776 of the family's 1533-position model. The record is from RNAcentral.
UACAGAGGUCUCAACCGUUGUUCGGAUUCAUUGGGCGUAAAGGGUGCGUAGGCGGUCGCGCAAGUCGGAUGUGAAAAUCUCAGGGCUCAACCCUGAAACUGCAUUCGAUACUGCGUGGCUAGAGUGCUGGAGAGGAGACUGGAAUUUACGGUGUAGCAGUGAAAUGCGUAGAUAUCGUAAGGAAGACCAGUGGCGAAGGCGAGUCUCUGGACAGCAACUGACGCUGAGGCACGAAGGCCAGGGGAGCAAACGGG